GUGCGCACACAUUUUCAUUGGCUAACUAUGAAUACAACAACUAAACUCUCUCUCUCAUUCAUUCUCCUCUCUUUCUACUCCAUCACCUCUUGGUUCAGUCCACGUUCAGCUGCGGAAGCACCCGAGCCGGUGCUCGACAUCACUGGAAAAGUACUCCGGACCGGCAUUGAUUACUACAUAUUGCCUGUCAUUCGGGGCAGAGGUGGUGGGCUUACACUAGCCCUCAUUAAUGAAACUUGCCCUCUCGACGUUGUUCAAGAGCAAGUGGAAGUAAAAAAUGGCCUUCCAUUGACAUUUACACCGGUCCAUCCUAAUAAAGGGCUGAUCCCUGUCUCCACUGAUCUAAACAUCAAGUUCUCGGCUUCCUCAACCUGCGUUCAGUCCACUGUAUGGAAGCUCGACGGAUCAGCCGGGAAAUAUUUCAUAACAACCGGUGGAGUUGAAGGCAAUCCCGGCCGCGAAACUAUAAGCAACUGGUUCAAGAUUGAAAAAUAUGAACGUGACUAUAAGAUUGUUUUCUGCCCUACGGU
This 530-nucleotide long non-coding RNA is filed under the name Olea europaea subsp. europaea. Lineage: Eukaryota; Viridiplantae; Streptophyta; Magnoliopsida; Lamiales; Oleaceae. The record is from RNAcentral.